This 869-nucleotide long non-coding RNA is filed under the name Homo sapiens (human). RNAcentral describes it as "HSALNT0000366". The record is from RNAcentral. Lineage: Eukaryota; Metazoa; Chordata; Mammalia; Primates; Hominidae.
GUGCACGCAAGCGUGUGCACACACCACCUGUCUGUGUGGGUUCACGUACUGUGUUAGCCAUGUCAGCAAUAGACACAUCACCUUGUACACGCGUGUUCCAUCACUAGGUACACAUGUUGAUGCGUGUCUGUGCAGUGUCUCCUUGAACACACAUGUAUGUGUGGUACCAGUGUGUGCAGGCAUGUUUGUGCAUGAACAUGUUUGCACAUGUGUGCUUGAUUGUGUAUGUGUGGGUGUGCACGCGCGCGCUGGGUCUCUUGGGAUCUGCUGGCAAGUCAGCAUGUGUGUGGAGGCACGGGGAGCCUCUGUAUCCCUGGAGCCCUCACCAGGAGGCUCAGGAGCCUUGGAGUGGGAGGCUCAGGGCCAGCCAGGAGAGUGGCCGCCAGCCCUGGGCAGAGGAACUGGGGCCAUCCUCUGCUCUCCCAUCUUCUGUUGCUGACCUGGGAAAAGGGGUUGAAUAACUUGAGCACCCUAGGAUCCUGCAUUGAGGACCCGGGCUGUGGGGAGGUGUGGGCAUGGCCUCCCUGCUGGGGGCUGGACCCUGGCUGAAGCACCCACCUUCUCCCUGGCCCCUCCGUCAGAAGCCUAAUGGACCUCCUCCUCCACGCAGACGGCCCUGUACUGCCCUCUUCCAGUCGUGUGGGGGUGCUGGAACCCACUCACCUCUGGGCCUUCUCUCUGGUAACCGGCUCUCAUGGGAGCCUGUUACAGGAGCCAGUUAUGGGGGCUGUGGGGCUGCAGUAGGUGCCGUAGAGUGACUGCCCUGGGAAAGUGCCUCACCCCUGUGGGGCAUGGACUGGAGUGGGGAGAUGAGAAUGGCCUGGCCCAGUGGGUUUUGGGGUUAGGCUGUGAUUUAACUGGGGUUCGAG